RNAcentral lists this small RNA (1982 nucleotides) under Pan troglodytes (chimpanzee). RNAcentral describes it as "processed transcript". Lineage: Eukaryota; Metazoa; Chordata; Mammalia; Primates; Hominidae. The record is from RNAcentral.
UGUUUGUCUAAGGCAGGCAGACUUUAGAACAGAGAAGUACUAGAAAACGGAUUCCCUGUGGCUCAGGGAAUAAAGUGGGACACAAGAAAAAAGAAAACCGCACCGCACCCAGACUCUUGGCGGGACGCCCCGCCCCUCAACAGUGGCCGCCUCCUCGCGCCCCUCCUUCGCCAUCUGCCGGCCGCGUCCCCUCCCGCCAGCCCCCGUCCCCCGUCCCCCGCCCCCCGUCCCCUUUUCAGAGACCUGAGCUCCGCCUCCCUGGACGCGAGGCAGGCUGGGAAGUCGGCCGCCGUAAAGAUGGCGGCAAAUUGAAAAAGUUGGAGCUGCUCCCGCGCGCGCUCCCGCGCGCGCUGAGUGGGCGAAGCGAACAGGGGGCUGGACAGCCUGGAAUUGUCUCGCCAUUUAAACGAGUAUUCCUAAAAGGUGAAAAGAGUAGAGAUAAGAAAGCCCAUGAGAAGGUGACAGAGAGGCGCCCUCUGCACACUGUGGUGUUGUCAUUGCCUGAGCGCGUCGAGCCAGACAGACUGCUGAGCGACUAUAUUGAGAAGGAGGUAAAGUAUUUAGGUCAGUUAACGUCCAUACCAGGAUACCUGAAUCCCUCCAGUAGGACUGAAAUCCUGCAUUUCAUAGACAAUGCAAAGAGAGCCCACCAGCUUCCGGGACACUUGACUCAGGAGCACGAUGCUGUGCUCAGCCUGUCUGCGUACAACGUCAAGCUGGCCUGGAGGGACGGGGAGGAUAUCAUCCUCAGGGUGCCCAUCCAUGACAUCGCCGCCGUCUCCUAUGUUCGGGAUGACGCUGCACACCUGGUGGUCCUGAAGACAGCCCAGGACCCAGGGAUCUCCCCCAGCCAGAGUCUGUGUGCGGAAAGUUCCAGAGGCCUCAGUGCAGGCUCCCUGUCGGAGAGUGCAGUUGGGCCCGUGGAGGCAUGCUGCCUGGUCAUCCUGGCUGCAGAGAGCAAGGUCGCUGCGGAGGAGCUUUGCUGUCUGCUAGGCCAGGUCUUCCAGGUUGUUUACACGGAGUCCACCAUCGACUUUCUGGACAGAGCGAUAUUUGAUGGGGCCUCUACCCCCACCCACCACCUGUCCCUGCACAGCGAUGACUCUUCUACAAAAGUGGACAUUAAGGAGACCUACGAGGUGGAAGCCAGCACUUUCUGCUUCCCUGAAUCUGUGGAUGUGGGUGGUGCGUCACCCCAUGGCAAGACCAUCAGUGAGAGCGAGCUGAGCGCCAGCGCCACUGAGCUGCUGCAGGACUACAUGCUGACGCUGCGCACCAAGCUGUCAUCACAGGAGAUCCAGCAGUUUGCAGCGCUGCUGCACGAGUACCGCAAUGGGGCCUCUAUCCACGAGUUCUGCAUCAACCUGCGGCAGCUCUACGGGGACAGCCGCAAGUUCCUGCUGCUUGGUCUGAGGCCCUUCAUCCCUGAGAAGGACAGCCAGCACUUCGAGAACUUCCUGGAGACCAUUGGCGUGAAGGAUGGCCGCGGCAUCAUCACCGACAGCUUUGGCAGGCACCGGCGGGCCCUGAGCACCACAUCCAGUUCCACCACCAAUGGGAACAGGGCCACGGGCAGCUCUGAUGACCGGUCGGCACCCUCAGAGGGGGAUGAGUGGGACCGCAUGAUCUCGGACAUCAGCAGCGACAUUGAGGCGCUGGGCUGCAGCAUGGACCAGGACUCAGCAUGAUGGACAGUGGAUGGGGGGCACCCACACCUUCCGCGCAGUCGUCGUAGGCCUUCCCAGAAGGAGCUGCCCAGACCUGCGUGUCAGCCCUUGGUGGUGGCCAGGGAGAGGCUCCUGGCGCAGAUGGCCCCGGGCGGCCCAGGUCCUCUACUGUGAAGGAGCAGGGAGCUGCCGAGGGACACGAGCCUCAUUGCGGGGUGGAAGGCUCUUUGCCUUGUCCACCAGGGCUCAGCCAAGCCCUGCAGCGUGUCCCCGCUCGGGGAGGGCCCGGCCGAGCGGGCAGGGAGAGCCAGUCCU